UACAGAGGUCUCAAGCGUUGUUCGGAUUCAUUGGGCGUAAAGGGUGCGUAGGUGGCGCGGUAAGUCGGGUGUGAAAUUUCGGAGCUUAACUCCGAAACUGCAUUCGAUACUGCCGUGCUUGAGGACUGGAGAGGAGACUGGAAUUUACGGUGUAGCAGUGAAAUGCGUAGAUAUCGUAAGGAAGACCAGUGGCGAAGGCGGGUCUCUGGACAGUUCCUGACACUAAGGCACGAAGGCCAGGGGAGCAAACGGG
RNAcentral lists this ribosomal RNA (253 nucleotides) under uncultured bacterium. RNAcentral describes it as "partial 16S ribosomal RNA". It matches the Rfam family "Bacterial small subunit ribosomal RNA", at positions 524 to 776 of the family's 1533-position model. The record is from RNAcentral.